Molecule: transfer RNA, 74 nt
Filed under: Flavobacteriales bacterium
Lineage: Bacteria; Pseudomonadati; Bacteroidota; Flavobacteriia; Flavobacteriales
Also listed under: 1 other name
Description: tRNA-Asn
Rfam family: tRNA
About the family: Transfer RNA (tRNA) molecules are approximately 80 nucleotides in length. Their secondary structure includes four short double-helical elements and three loops (D, anti-codon, and T loops).
Source: RNAcentral
UCUCCCUUAGCUCAGUUGGUUAGAGCAUCUGACUGUUAAUCAGAGGGUCCAAGGUUCGAGUCCUUGAGGGAGAG